AGGGUUCGAUUCUGGCACAGGACGAACGCUGGCGGCGUGCCUAACACAUGCAAGUCGAGCGGAGCUAAUAGCAAUGUUAGCUUAGCGGCGGACGGGUGAGUAACGCGUGGGUAACCUGCCUUGUACAGGGGGAUAACACAGGGAAACUUGUGCUAAUACCGCAUAACAUCGCAUCAUGGCAUCAUGGAGCGAUCAAAGGAGCAAUCCGGUAUAAGAUGGACCCGCGUCCGAUUAGCUAGUUGGAGGUGUAAUGGACCACCAAGGCGACGAUCGGUAGCCGAACUGAGAGGUUGAACGGCCACAUUGGGACUGAGACACGGCCCAGACUCCUACGGGAGGCAGCAGUGGGGAAUAUUGCACAAUGGGGGGAAACCCUGAUGCAGCAACGCCGCGUGAAGGAUGAAGGUCUUCGGAUUGUAAACUUCUUUAGUCGGGGACGAAAAAAUGACGGUACCCGAAGAAUAAGCCACGGCUAACUACGUGCCAGCCGCGGC
RNAcentral lists this ribosomal RNA (494 nucleotides) under uncultured bacterium. Its description in RNAcentral is "bacterial SSU rRNA". It matches the Rfam family "Bacterial small subunit ribosomal RNA", at positions 8 to 518 of the family's 1533-position model. The record is from RNAcentral.